RNAcentral lists this transfer RNA (76 nucleotides) under Alteromonas sp. Its description in RNAcentral is "tRNA-His". It matches the Rfam family "tRNA". Rfam says of the family: Transfer RNA (tRNA) molecules are approximately 80 nucleotides in length. Their secondary structure includes four short double-helical elements and three loops (D, anti-codon, and T loops). The record is from RNAcentral. RNAcentral also lists the same sequence under 5 other names. Lineage: Bacteria; Pseudomonadati; Pseudomonadota; Gammaproteobacteria; Alteromonadales; Alteromonadaceae.
GUGGUUGUAGCUCAGUUGGUUAGAGCGCUGGAUUGUGGUUCCAGAGGUCGCCGGUUCGAACCCGGUCUUCCACCCA